GACGAACGCUGGCGGCGUGCCUAAUACAUGCAAGUAGAACGCUGAAGAGAGGAGCUUGCUCUUCUUGGAUGAGUUGCGAACGGGUGAGUAACGCGUAGGUAACCUGCCUUGUAGCGGGGGAUAACCAUUGGAAACGAUAGCUAAUACCGCAUAACAAUGGAUGACACAUGUCAUUUAUUUGAAAGGGGCAAUUGCUCCACUACAAGAUGGACCUGCGUUGUAUUAGCUAGUAGGUGAGGUAAUGGCUCACCUAGGCGACGAUACAUAGCCGACCUGAGAGGGUGAUCGGCCACACUGGGACUGAGACACGGCCCAGACUCCUACGGGAGGCAGCAGUAGGGAAUCUUCGGCAAUGGGGGCAACCCUGACCGAGCAACGCCGCGUGAGUGAAGAAGGUUGUCGGAUCGUAAAGCUCUGUUGUAAGUCAAGAACGGGUGUGAGAGUGGAAAGUUCACACUGUGACGGUAGCUUACCAGAAAGGGACGGCUAACUACGUG
This 497-nucleotide ribosomal RNA is filed under the name uncultured bacterium. Its description in RNAcentral is "partial 16S ribosomal RNA". It matches the Rfam family "Bacterial small subunit ribosomal RNA", at positions 28 to 507 of the family's 1533-position model. The record is from RNAcentral.